CCUACGGGGGGCAGCAGUGAGGAAUAUUGGUCAAUGGACGCAAGUCUGAACCAGCCAUGCCGCGUGCAGGAAGACGGCACUAUGAGUUGUAAACUGCUUUUGUACGAGGAUAAACGCAGAUACGCGUACCCGUCUGAAAGUACCGUACGAAUAAGGAUCGGCUAACUCCGUGCCAGCAGCCGCGGUAAUACGGAGGUUUCAAGCGUUAUCCGGAUUUAUUGGGUUUAAAGGGUGCGUAGGCGGUCGGAUAAGUUAGAGGUGAAAUCCCGAGGCUCAACUCCGGCAUUGCCUCUGAUACUGGUCGGCUAGAGAGUAGUUGCGGUAGGCGGAAUGUGUGGUGUAGCGGUGAAAUGCUUAGAGAUCGUACAGAACACCGAUUGCGAAGGCAGCUUGCC
Molecule: ribosomal RNA, 395 nt
Filed under: uncultured bacterium
Lineage: Bacteria
Description: partial 16S ribosomal RNA
Rfam family: Bacterial small subunit ribosomal RNA
Source: RNAcentral